RNAcentral lists this long non-coding RNA (336 nucleotides) under Androctonus crassicauda. Lineage: Eukaryota; Metazoa; Arthropoda; Arachnida; Scorpiones; Buthidae. The record is from RNAcentral.
UUGGCAUUGAGCCAAUUCUGAUGGGUCUGUCAUGUCGGGGGUCGCUUACUACGAAGGUUUGUUUUAUAUUUUUAAUUCUAACAUCAUGCGUUUGAAUGUAUUGGCCGUUUUGAACAGAUUCAAAUCGGUGAAUAUUUUCAGUGGUUACGCCCGUGUGAAGAAUCGGAUGACCCUGGAAGACCCAGUGAUGGCCAUAAGCAGCCGAGGAACAGUCAGUUUCGGACCAGCAGUUAAGAGGAUAAGUUCUGUUGAUUACCGGUACACUCAAGUAUUUAUUCUUUAAGUUCUUUUAGUUUCUUAACUGUAAUUAGAGUUGUUUUAUAGUUUUUUUUGGUG